This 347-nucleotide long non-coding RNA is filed under the name Gorilla gorilla gorilla (western lowland gorilla). Its description in RNAcentral is "lncRNA (ENSGGOG00000044353.1)". The record is from RNAcentral. Lineage: Eukaryota; Metazoa; Chordata; Mammalia; Primates; Hominidae.
GCCCGUUAUCAUCAGUAUCUCUCCCCGCCAGCUCCCAGCAUGGGGCCUUCCACAGCACCAGCUGACAGCUGAUCCUCUGGGAGGCGUGAAGAUGGAGUUGGCAGCUGAGGAGCUGUGAGGGUGCCGAGCCAGGCACCGGGUGGAGCUGCUCCACAUUCAGGAUGGGCGAUGGCGGCUUCCAGGAAGGCAGAGGAGCCUCUCAGAGGGCAGGAAGAGGAAGAGGAGGCAGAGCUGCCGGGAAGAACUGUGGGGUCAGGGUCUCCUUCUUGGUGAACUCAGCUGAAGACAUCCAAGAUGAUGAGAGUCUCCCCAAGAUAUAGGAGAAGAGAUGUAAGAAGGGCUUUGAG